AUACUUACCUGGACGGGGUCGAUGGAUGAUCCAUAAGACCCAUGGUGUAGUUUGGCGACCUCCAUUGCACUUUGGAGGGUGUCCGCCUAAGGUCGCCCCAGGUGGUUGAGCCUACGUCAUAAUUUGUGUCAGAGGGGCCUGCGUUCGCGCGGCCCCUGC
Salvia splendens (bonfire salvia) is the source of this 159-nucleotide small nuclear RNA. RefSeq annotates it as U1 spliceosomal RNA. The transcript has a single exon. Lineage: Eukaryota; Viridiplantae; Streptophyta; Magnoliopsida; Lamiales; Lamiaceae. The record is from RefSeq and is a predicted model, not a curated record.